GACAGAGGGUGCAAACGUUGUUCGGAAUUACUGGGCGUAAAGCGCGUGUAGGCUGCUUCGCAAGUCGGAUGUGAAAGCCCUGGGCUCAACCCAGGAAGUGCAUUCGAAACUGCAGAGCUGGAGUCCUGGAGAGGAAGGCGGAAUUCUCGGUGUAGAGGUGAAAUUCGUAGAUAUCGAGAGGAACACCGGUGGCGAAGGCGGUCUUCUGGACGGUGACUGACGCUGAGGCGCGAAAGCGUGGGGAGCAAACGGG
Molecule: ribosomal RNA, 253 nt
Filed under: uncultured bacterium
Lineage: Bacteria
Description: partial 16S ribosomal RNA
Rfam family: Bacterial small subunit ribosomal RNA
Source: RNAcentral